CAACGGCUAUAGAACAGGAAAGCUGCUUCUUGUUGUUGUUUUUGUCCAUGAGAGCCGUCAGGGAGCAGCGAGGAAGGACUGCUUGUAAUAUGUUUAAACGUCCCUAAAUCCCACUUCACUACCUCAAGGAAAUUCUUUUUUAAAUUCGUAUAAUCACAGAAUCAUUUUGGUUGGAAGAGACCCUAAAGAUCAUCGAGUCCAACCAUAAACUUACUGUAGCACUAAUCGUGUCCCUAAGAUCCUCAUCUACAUGUCUUUUAAACACUUCCAGGGAUGGUGUCUCCACCACUGCCCUGGGCAGCCUGUUCCAGUGCUUCACAACUCUUUCCUUGAAUUAAUUUUUCCUAAUAUCCAGUCUGAAUCUCCCCUGGUGCAACUUGAGGCCAUUUCUUCUUGUCCUAUCACUUGUUACUUGGGAGAAGUACUAAUUUACUAAUGGCCUGUAGCUAAUUGCCUCUGCAGUGAUAACACACUGUUACCGCUUUUAAAGGCUGUGUGCUUAAAGGCAGCUUGAAAGCCAGGUGUAAAUGUUGUUUAAACAACCACUCAGGACACCCCACGGAACCCCGUCGGUGCCCGGGGCCGCCGUGUCCGCAUCCCCGGUGCCGCCCGCACCUUCGCUCUGGGAGGGAGCUUAGUCAGGAGCAUCGGCAUUGCUGUGGGUGUGUCUGCAGAGUCCUAAGCUGAAGAACAGAGAAGAUACUUGGUGAACUAAAGUCGGCUGCAAGGUAUCAGUUCAAGGACAGCUUUAUGCACUUAAAAGGCUGAACACAACUAGGACGACUUGUGUGAAAGAGAAGGAACGGAAAACGCGAGAUCCAGAAGAGAUGAAGCCUGAGAUGAAUUCUCAUAAGCUCCAUGAAAAUCUUCAGCUUCACUCUCGGAGUUCAUCUGAUCAAAGUUUGUGGCUUCUGCUCGACCGCCCAGCCCUGGGCUCUCUGUGCCGUAGGAUGGCAGGGCAGCCACAUCUCGGUCCUUGGCUCCUGUUUGGAUGUUCCUAGGGAAGUGGGUUGUGAGUGGAAGAUUUUUCACCUGUAGACCAGUACUCAUUAAAAGCCUUCUGCUUGCUUGUGCAUUUUUAAAUAAGGAUACAAAUGCAGGAAGAAACGUCUAUUCCAGUGGAUACAGUGUAAUAAAGGAGUGAUUGGUUGCUAAGGCCGCUGUCCCCUUGUGAACUCCUCACCUGUUGAACCUUUGUGGCAGUAUUGCUUUGUGUUUGCAGCCUGCCAGGAACCAGAUAUGAGUGGUCAUGUCUUGGCAGGUCCCUGAUCCAGCCCUUGGAGGACAGCGAGGUCCCUCCCGGUGUGGCUCGGGGGCCGCCUAGCGGGGUGCAGACUGGUGGCCCUGCUGCCACAGCCGGGCUCUUCGUCCAGCGGCUGGGGACUGCUUGCAAACUAGCGCUUAGAGUGAAUUAAUUUUAUCCCUCAUAUUACAUGCCUCUUCCAAGCACAGCUGUUUCUCAGGGCUGGAAAAUCCUGGCUUUCCCUCCCCUUAUUUGGAUAACAGCUGAAAUGCCGACAGAUAUUGGACACUUGAAUAAAACUGGAGUUCCUAGAACCAAGUGACUAAAUUCCCUUUUUAAGCACCGACAUGAAAAGAUGCCUAGAGCUUAUUUUAAGAGAUGUUAAGCUUCCACUUGAAAUCAUAAGGCUCCAUACUUGUUAAAGUAAGUAGAUUCAUGUCAAAUGGAGAUCCUGGUUAUUUGCUUCCUUUCUUUCCUAUAAAAAAAGCCCCAAACCCUGCCCCACUUCUUUGCAUGCCAGAGCAUUACAGGAAUGUGGAAGGAUUUUGAGCCCAGACUGCCUGAAACAUGAGGACUGCAGAUCCUGGGGAGUGUAAAUGCACGAAGACUUGGGUGCCCGCGACUGUAACCUGCAGAGUAUGUGCAGAUGUGAAUAAAGGCAACGAUAUUUGUGGAGUCCCUGGUCAUCCUGAUCCAGCCACCUGCUGCCUGUGCUGCAAGUACCUGUGCUGAAAGUUCAUGUUGCACAGGCACAUCCCAGUAGUUUGGUGGAGGUUUGGGCUCCUUUGUGUGGACCCUAAGGAGAAGUGUUUAGUGCUGUGGAAAGAACAGCAUUUCAAGAACCUGAAAACUGCUAUUUCUGCAGUUAGGAUGCUAUAUAUGAACAAAGCUAGGCCAAGUUGUUUCCUGAAAGCUCUGGGGAAACACCCACAGGCCUGCUGUCUUAUGGAUUACCCCUUCCAGAGAGCUCUGUGUUGUCAAUGCUUGGACCAAGAGCCAGUGCACUGGGGCAGUGCUGAGUUGCUCAGGUACAAAUCUGUGAGCUGUCUGGCCCAUCUGUUCCCCUCCUUGUAGCCCGCCAGUGGCUCCUCCUGCCUGCACCAGCCCUGCUCUAUGGUGAGAGGGGGAUGAACCCAGUUCCAGCUCUCCCUUUCACUGCUGACUGCUGGAGGAUGCUUCCCCAUCCUGCCACUGAUACCCGUAGUGAAUAAUGAAGCAGAGCCUCAGCCUUAACACAGAAGACAACCCACCGUCUUUUUUUAAAGUAGAAAAUACCACAGUAUGCUAUUCAGUCAGCAAGUAAGCUAAGCUUUCCACCCUAGAAUACAAUGGUGAUCCUCUGUGAGUCAUAAGGAAAAUUAAGUUAACGGGCCCAAAGAAGAGAGAGAUCAGUCUCGCCAGCUCGAUACUUGAUGUGGGGCACACCUUCCAAGGAGGUGGAUGUGUCAUUCCAGCGGGUUUAGGAGAAGAUGGGAAUUGUGUGGUCAGUGCAUAUAACUGCGUAUGACUCUCAGCAUUGCUAUCCAGUGCUGCAGCUGUGAUUUGCUGUUUCUGCUGCCUGUGGCUGUACUGUUAUAUUUGCACUUUCUGGAGAACACAGCAGGGUCUCAUCUCCGUUGUCUCCAAACCAGACCUGUUACAUGUGUCUCAUCUUCUUUGUGAAGAAGGCAUUUUUGUGAACAGCACUCUAUAAAUUGUGACUGCUGUAGCAUCAAGCUGUUCUAGUAACUACGGAAGUGUAAAAAAAGCAUCUUCUGUCCCAGAGCCUCUUGCUUUUACUUAGCUGAUUUAUAUUUUUUUCAAUAGGAGUAAAGAGAAAGUAUAUCCUCAGGUGGGAACAUAUUGAAAUGGGGUGUUUUUAGACUGAUAGCUGUAAAGUUUUGAUCAGAAGCAAAUGGGAAUCUGAGGUAGCUUUCCCAGAGCCUGCAUAAUAGUUUUCUCCAGUGCUAUACAAAGCAGCAUGUGCCUGCUGUAACUUCUGCCUUGUCUUGUAACCCAAGUGUGCCCUGGGUGGUCAUCCCACAGCAUGUCCUGACGGGUGGUCUGGUGCUUCUGCCAUAUAGCCCUGAUAUCACCAAAGCUGGUGAAUCCAGAGAUGACCUGAAGCUCCUGAGCCCUCCUACCCUUUUGUCUCACUGCACGUGAGGCCCCUGGCUGUGGAAUGGAGAGAGCUGCAGUGACCAUGGAGGUGAGUGACAGUGUUUCAUGCACCUUGGCUGAUUUCUAGUGCCACAAGAGCUGCUUCAACCUGUGCUCCAGGCAGGGAAGCUUGUGCACAGGAGUAGCAGCACAUAACCCUCCAGUCUACCCAUUGCUGCACCUUGCAUAUGUACCCAUGGUGAAUUCUGGCCUAAAAAUCUUGUUCUGGUUCAGCUCUGCCAGUCCUGCUUGUGCUGGGCACAUGUGGGUACAGAGCUGCUGCUGGGGACUCGCCACUGCCUGGUCCAUCCCCACUCCAGCCAGCUGAGCCACCAACACCCAGGACGGGCAGUGCCAACCUUCCGUGAGUGGAGCAAAGUCAGUGGGUGAGAUUUAAACUUCUACAGUUAAACAAGAAACCCAGGAUCCCCCUGGAGACUGUUUGCUUGAGGGGAGUGUUAUUUAAAACUGUCUAAUCUCAGGUUUCCCUGAUGUGCCAGAAGAUGGUUUUAGCUCACUUGUCUCCUGACAGAGGCGUGUCCAAGCUGUCCCGUGUCACCAUGUCAGUGGCUCUGACCUGAGGCACCUUCCCUGGGGCAGCGCGCCAGGGCUGUGUGGUUUCCCUGGAAGCUGUGGGGUUUGCAGUGGGCAUGUGGACUGCUGGGACCAGUCGUGGUCACCAGAGCUGGGUGACGCUGCCUCCAUCCACACUGCUGUGUGCCGUGCCGGGGAACUGGGAGGAGAGCAUCCCAAGGAUGGGGCCUUUGGCCACCUCAUCUUUGGCCACCUCCUGGUCACACUGGGACAGGGCUUGUCACUCUGCUGUCAUCUGAGGAGCAGAAUUAUCUCAAGUGACUCAACAAUGAUACUAGAGUAGGAUCUUAGGCUGUGGGGUGUGUCAGAAGCUGGGGAUGCAGCUGGCACUGAUGCCAACACAAGGAGGGGAUUUUCAGUCAUUUUGGCCUUCCUGCAAAGGCUGGAGGCAACUGUGUAGUGGUGCAGAGCUGGGGUCUCUUAAAUACUUGCUCUCAGUUCCGAAUCUAGGCUAGGUCCAGUCUCUGAUCUCUUCCGCAGAGAAGCUAGAGCAGCUGUUGACAUCUGGAAGAGAGUCUGAGUCCACACCAACAGCUCUGUGGUUCCACCAGUGGGGCUCAUGAUGCUUAUCCAAAACUGCUGGAACUCAGACUGCAUUAUACCUGCUGCGAUAUUGCCAUGAAGCUCAAAACAGGGAUUUGUUGCACUGUAAAAAACCUAUUCCAGCUCAGAGCUUCUACGCAGAGUAUAAAUCAUGUGUGCAGAGUGCAUAUAAUCAGAGUAUUGCCAAACACUGUAGUUUAGAUGCAUGUUUGGAGAACUAGGGUGUGGACUAUGAAGCAGUUAAAAGUGCCAGUUCCCAAGCCCAUCAUUAUUCAUGUUGCCUAAAUUAAGCAACUACUAUAUAGUCAAACGAAACUUUAAUGGGGAAAUUAUUUUACAAAAUGCAAGUAAUUUCAUUGAAAAUUGAGCUGGCAAAAAGUGCUACAUAAAAUUAAAUAACUUGCACAGAUGUUUCUUGAAUGAAAAAUAAAUGCACACCUGGUCUAAUGGCUGUUUUUUCCCUCUAGGGAGCAUCAAGACUGGACUGUCUAAGCUCUCACAAACACCUCUUAUGACAGUGAUAUGUGCCAUAUCCUGUGUUCAAGGAGGAGAAAACGUUAGUUUAAAUGCAUAGUCAUGGCAUUCGGGCUUCUACAAAGUACCGUGUGCCUGGUUUAUGCUGAGCAGUGAGCUCUUAAUUGUUGGGGAGACCACACGCAGGCUGUACAGCCCCAAACACUCCAGGAAAUACGAUCGGUCUAAUUUUAGCUACAUGGACAGCAUUUGAUAUGGAAGCAGCUGGUGUCAUACAAAUCUGUGGGCUUGUCAAGCAACCCCAGUGCAUUGCUAAAGCAAAUCUGUUCAUUUCCACUCAAAGGCAAUCUAGAAAGCCAGGCCUGGUUUUAGCUUGCACUUGACUCAAUAUAAAUCAAAGCUGUAGCUUUGUCACCAUAGAUGUGCAGUGCCCAAACUCUUAGAUUUUAAUGCCAUUUCAUUAGAAAAGUGAGACAGGAGUUAUUUUUCUCAUGCUAGCACAUACCUCUUCCUGUUUACAAUGGGUGGAAAUGUUUUCUGGACAUGCUCACUCUGUUCCCCUCUUGUGAAAAGGUUUUCUAAUGUAAAAAGUUUAUGUAAUGAAAGCCAGUGGUGGUGUGAGCCUAAGCUGCUGGCAGUCUCUUGAUCUGCUAGAUAUCAUGCUAAUUGCUCAAGAGUAUAUCUGGGCAGUGAUCUCAGUUGGUGCUCGGAUUGCCGUCUUUUUGGCAGCUGAGACACAAACUUCCUAGGUAGAAAAGCCCUAAAAAUACAGCAGGGCUUGGAUUUUCUGUCUAUUAGAGGGUGACAGAGAAAGCAUGUCUGUUAAACCCCUCCUCAAGUGGCCCAUGAGCAAGCUAUAAUGCUUAAUUACUGGAAAUUCUGAAGAAAACAAAAAUGGCAAGUCUAGUGCGUACCCAGCUGCUCUGGAAACUCUUCUUGCACCAACAUUCAGCACUGAAUGCGGCAGCAUCCGAAUGGCCAUGAACCAGUCAGUGCUGCAACCAGAGCUGCCAGCAGCCCCAGCAGCGCGAGGGGAUGUCCCUCAACAGCCGCAGCCUUUGGAAAUUAGGAAAUGAUAAUGCAAAGGCAUGUGUGUAGUGCAAGGCACAGGAGAGCGAGGGCUUUGUCUCUGCCUGCCCUCCCUGCCAAAAAAAUAAAUAAAUAGUUCUGUUUAGA
Columba livia (rock pigeon) is the source of this 6169-nucleotide long non-coding RNA. RefSeq lists it as uncharacterized. The record is from RefSeq and is a predicted model, not a curated record. Lineage: Eukaryota; Metazoa; Chordata; Aves; Columbiformes; Columbidae. The transcript is spliced from 6 exons.